UACAGAGCAGGUAAAAGCUUCCCUG
Molecule: non-coding RNA, 25 nt
Filed under: Rattus norvegicus (Norway rat)
Lineage: Eukaryota; Metazoa; Chordata; Mammalia; Rodentia; Muridae
Source: RNAcentral